AGAAAAUGACAUUGUUGAAGAUACCAAUUUGUGUGGGAAUCGUGGGGUUUUGCUUAUCAUCAUCAAACAGGAGAAGCGUGAAUGAACGAGAUCUUGGACGGUCAUCCGAUACGAUGUAUUAAUGCUUUCCGUAUGAGUGCUAGUUUAUUUACACAACUAUGUGAAGGCUUGGAAAAAAAAUUAUGGGUUGAAGUCAAAUGAUAAAAUAUCAGUAAAAGAAAAGGUUGGUAUAUUCUUGUAUACAGUUGCACUAAGUCUUUCUAACAGAGAUGUUGCCGAGAGUUUUCAACGUUCUGGAGAGACAAUUAGUCGAGCUUUUCAUGAUGUGUUGGAAUCAAUAUGUGGAAGGAGCAAAGGGUUCAUGGGUCUUGCACGUGAGUAUAAUAGACCUAAAGACGCAACAUUUCGUUGCAUAUCGUCUGAUAUUGAAAUGAUAGUCGAUAUAUGCCUUAUUUCAAGGGUUGCAUUGGAUGCAUUGAUGGUACUCAUAUAAAUGCAUGUAUCUCGAUUGUCGACCAAAUAAGAUAUAGGGGAAGAAAAGGAGUCCAUAUGUUCAAUGUAAUGGACGUAUGUGACUUUGACAUGUGUUUUACGUUUAUAUCUGUAGGGUGGAAAGGAUCGGCGCAUGAUACUCGAGUGUUCCUUCAUGCAAUUGAGACACCUUCUAUGAAUUUUCCUAAGCCCCACGAAUGAAAAUUUUACAUAGUAGACAAAGGAUACCCUGACCGAAAAUGAUAUCUGGCACCAUAUCCACGUCUUAGAUAUCAUCAGUCACACUUUAAACAUGUACUUCCAACUAAUGCUCAAGAGGCUUUUAACCGCGUACAUUCAUCUCUUCGAAGUUGUAUUGAACGUUCGUUUAGAGUGUUGAAGAAAAGGUGGAAAAUAUUGAACAGAAUGUCAAAAUUUAGUGAGAAGACCCAAAUAGAUGUGAUCAUGGCGACAUUUACCCUUCAUAACUAUAUUUGAAGAAAUGAUUCGGAAGAUAUGAUUUUCAACAUUGUUCAACAACAUAAUUACAUACCUAGAGAAGAAGAACAAGAAAAUUAUUCAAGAUUUAGUCAUGAUAAUACCCGACAGUCACGACAUGAGAUGCGAGAAAUUCGUGACAAUAUUGCGAAUAUGAUCUGGAAUGCACGACAUUUCACUUAAACAUAAAUAGUCGUAAAAAUGUUAUUUAGUAUUUUCUUUAAUUUAAUUUUAUGAUUUACAUAUUUGUUUUAUA
This is a non-coding RNA of Lactuca sativa (garden lettuce), 1225 nucleotides long. Lineage: Eukaryota; Viridiplantae; Streptophyta; Magnoliopsida; Asterales; Asteraceae. The record is from RefSeq and is a predicted model, not a curated record.